CUGGCAGAGGCUGAACAUCAUUAGAUUCAGAAAAAGUUGAAGGCAAGGUAUUUUGGUCUCAAAGUCAAUAAGAAUGAAUUCCUUUGGAUUGGGAAACCUGUGUUUAAUCCUGUUUCACUGUAUCUAUCAGAUUUAUGCCUUGGAAAAUAUACAGGAAGAUUUUCAGGGAGUUGCAAAUGAAGAAAUGAAACUAAGUAAUCCACUGAAAUUGAUCACAGAAGCAAAACCCAGAC
Non-coding RNA from Chiloscyllium plagiosum (whitespotted bambooshark), 233 nucleotides. Lineage: Eukaryota; Metazoa; Chordata; Chondrichthyes; Orectolobiformes; Hemiscylliidae. The record is from RefSeq and is a predicted model, not a curated record.